This 425-nucleotide unclassified non-coding RNA is filed under the name uncultured fungus. Its description in RNAcentral is "partial contains ITS1, 5.8S rRNA and ITS2". The record is from RNAcentral. Lineage: Eukaryota; Fungi.
AACGCAAGUUGCGGUCUUUUUACGAAGACCAUGUUUGCCUGAGGGUUGUUAACAUCAAAAUUGAGGUUGUGUGCUUCGAUCAAAAGAAGCACUCCCUUGAAAUCUAGUUUGGGGCUUAGUUCUAUUCAUUUAGAGCUUUGAUUCAAUCUUCUUUAUUUGAAUCCAUACGUAAAGCGAAAUUCUAUUUUGCUUUGCAACCUCGAACCAAUAUUUUUUUCAAUUAAAAAAAUAAGGGUUUAAUAGUGAGAUCUUCGGAUCUUGCUUCCUUAAACUAAACACUUAUCGUUUUUAACUUGUGAAGAAGUUGGGUUGAAGGAAUGGUAUUCAGGUAUUAAUGAAGAGAAUCUUAAAUGAUUUUUUUUUCAUUAAUAUUCAAUAAAUCAAAUCGCAACCUCAGAUCAAGCAAGACUACCCGCUGAACUUAA